CAAGCAAGCCUAUCCAUUUACCUUUACUUAACAAAUUUAUCAUAUCAUGCAUACACACACACACCUUUUUCCGGGUGUGAACAUAGUCAAAACACAAUGGCAUUAUCGAUAAUAAUAUACAUGCACUAUACCAAUCAUGUAUUUAGCAAUUUACAUUGCAUACACAUAUUCACAUUGUUAGAUUGUAUUCACAAUACAAAAGGACCCAUGACUUCCAGCG
Molecule: long non-coding RNA, 220 nt
Filed under: Theobroma cacao (cacao)
Lineage: Eukaryota; Viridiplantae; Streptophyta; Magnoliopsida; Malvales; Malvaceae
Description: long non-coding RNA (TCAC_LNC001932)
Source: RNAcentral